CCUACGGGAGGCAGCAGUGGGGAAUAUUGGACAAUGGGGGGAACCCUGAUCCAGCCAUGCCGCGUGUGUGAAGAAGGCCCUCGGGUUGUAAAGCACUUUCAGUGAGGAAGAACGCCUGGUGGUUAAUACCCAUCAGGAAAGACAUCACUCACAGAAGAAGCACCGGCUAACUCCGUGCCAGCAGCCGCGGUAAUACGGAGGGUGCGAGCGUUAAUCGGAAUUACUGGGCGUAAAGCGCGCGUAGGUGGCUUGAUAAGCCGGUUGAAGCCCCGGGCUCAACCUGGGAACGGCAUCCGGAACUGUCAAGCUAGAGUGCAGGAGAGGAAGGUAGAAUUCCCGGUGUAGCGGUGAAAUGCGUAGAGAUCGGGAGGAAUACCAGUGGCGAAGGCGGCCUUCUGGACUGACACUGACACUGAGGUGCGAAAGCGUGGGUAGCAAACAGGAUUAGAUACCCCAGUAGUC
RNAcentral lists this ribosomal RNA (462 nucleotides) under Vreelandella stevensii. Its description in RNAcentral is "partial 16S ribosomal RNA". It matches the Rfam family "Bacterial small subunit ribosomal RNA", at positions 338 to 795 of the family's 1533-position model. The record is from RNAcentral. Lineage: Bacteria; Pseudomonadati; Pseudomonadota; Gammaproteobacteria; Oceanospirillales; Halomonadaceae.